Molecule: long non-coding RNA, 3747 nt
Organism: Acipenser ruthenus (sterlet)
Lineage: Eukaryota; Metazoa; Chordata; Actinopteri; Acipenseriformes; Acipenseridae
Exons: 5
Source: RefSeq, a predicted model, not a curated record
GGGUGACCUCGAACCAGUUAUUAUGUGUAGUAAGAAAUUGGAUUCCUUUGCAUGGAGAAUUUCAGUGGCUAGAGUUCACGGCUCCUCGAUUGAUUCAGAUUCAGUUGUAUUAAGUCUGCCCACUAAUAAUGUAGAGCAAAAUAGGUAUUGUGGUGUUUGCAGAGCCGACCCGAGCUGAACCCAAGACAGAAGUGGAGUCCUGCUGGGAACGAGCUGAAGCUUUGGACAUGGACUGGAUGAUUUAAAAAUGAAAUGUAUUAAUGAGAUGAUAUGUGUUGUAACCAUUUGUAAUGUUUGAAUAAUCUUUAGUCUGUAACAAAUACUGUAAAGUGCUCUCUCUGUAAGACCGUAUAACAGAAUCUGGUACAACUUGAUACACUGGCCGGCCUUGAGCAGUCUCUUAUUAAAAUUGGCACGAUUCCCAGAAUUUAGUGCUGAAAUCUCUGUUAAGACUUUUCAGCUUGACUACAGAGUAAUGCUGUACUAAUAAAUGUAUGUUAAUAUGCUUGUUUUAAAAGGUAUAGAUUGUUGUGGUAACAUAUAAUCAUAGGUAGUGAUAAUUAUUGUUAGUAUGAAAUACUAUGAACAAUUUUUAUGUAUAAGAUCAUAUGAUUCACUUUGCUUAAUAUGAUAGCAUACCUGAAGCUGUUUUCUAUCAAGAUGUGCAUAGUUAAAAACUGAGUCCUAAUUCAAUGAAAAGAAUUACUGUGUGCUUACAUUCAAGAAUUAUAACUUCUGAAUAUAAAGGGAAAAGGAGUUAGGAGUAUUCUUAAGGGAAAGAGAAAAACAGAAAAGGAUUAAAAGACCUCGCUUUGAGUAGGUUUCUGCUUGUAAUUCAGUUUUAAAAUAAGUAGGUGAGUAAGAACAACCUAGAGUAAAAGCAGACUAUAACUUAAGAAAAAUAAGCAUUGUCAGAAGAUACACCACAAAUAGAGAGCAGAAAAAUUGAAUAAAAUCCUAUUGUAAUAUUGCGGAUAUACUGCUGCUAGCAGAAAGUAAUAAGGUUAGCAGCCAUACGCUAUAAGGAGUAAGGUACUAGUUUGACUCUGAAGUUAAAAGACGCAGCAUAAAAAGAUGUUGUGUUUAAAAUACAAAAUAAAAGGAUUGAAUAAAUAAUGAAGAAUAAAAGCAGGAGAUAGGUUUUAGGAGAGUAAACUCUAUGUGACCUGUCUUCUUGAACUCUCUAUCAGCCUGCCCUUGGAGAAAUUAAUAUUAGCUGCUGGAAGGCCUCUUUGGUGGGAAGAAGCCGGAAUUUUUUUAUCAGAAGGCUUAUAGUAUCGGGCGGACUGCAAAAAUAGGGAGUUAGAACGGAUGGUCUUAGCACCUAAGAUAGUUAGUUGCCGGGCGGAACAAGCACGUAAGAUACAGGUGUAAGGAAAGUUCUAGGGAACAUUAAUCACUAUUAAACUUGGCAAGAAAAGAGGUGUCUCCAGCAAGCUGGUUUUAGCCAGUAUGUGUAUAGCUGAAAAAUACAGGGUCAUCUGGAUGUCAAUUAAGUUCAAGCUACCAGGGGCCCAUAGGAGAAAAACAUUACAGCUUUACAGCUCAGUAAAAUAGUUAGGUUUUCCAUAAGGAGAAAACUCUACAUUAAAAAGAUAUAAGAUAGAAGUUCCCUAUAAUACCUGCUAAACACACACCUGUAAGGAAAGAAUGAAAUUAAUUUGAGAGUGAGAUGACAUGAGGGAAUAUAUUUUUGAAAGCCAAGUUCAUGUAAUCAAUUAUAAUCAUUAUAACUAUAACUGCUAUAUUAUGAUAUAACUAUUGGUGUUGCAUAUAUUCAAAAAACACCACUUUUCUUAUAUUGGUGUUGCAUAUAUUUAAAACACCACUCCUUUUUACAAUGCACCCAUAUUAAGUAGUGAAUCAAGGUAGCAGGGAUUUUGUGAACUCUGCUUCACCUAACUUUUCAGAUGAAAGGAGGGGGGCCAAGAAUGAGUGGAUGAGAACAUGGGCUAGUGUUGAUUUGUUGGCAUAUGACUCCAAUUGAGUCUGAAGAGUUGGUUAACUUCUUUAGAGAUUACUGUUUGCCAAGAGAUAAGGACUGUCAAUAUAGAUUGAUGAUUGGAGCUAAUUGGGGCCUCCCAUUGCUUUCAAUGGGACGAAAAUUGUAUAAAAACCCUGGGCUGAUCACACUAGGGCACCACAAUCAAGACUCAGCUUGGCAGAGCCACGUGGUCCAUCCUUUGCAGAUCUCCACAGAACAGUCCUUCUCUUUUGUUCACGCUACUCUUCCUUAUAAUAGGAGAAUCCAAACCCCGCAUAGAUUUAAUGCAGAGUUUGAGGCAGAGUCCCACUAAAAACGAAGUUCAUGGCACAACUAGAUAAACAUGCACCAAGGUUGGUAACUGUGUUUGAGGAGCUGCAGGAAGAAAAAUCAACAAUAUCUUAAGUUUUGGAGCAGAGCGACAGCAUUGUCACUAGGAGAGAAGUAGUCAUCAGAGCAUUGUGUGAAUACCUGCAUGAAGACGAGCGAUAACCUGAUUUAAGAAUACUUGGAUAUUCAAGGAUAUAACGUACUAAAAGACCUUGAGCAAACUGUCAUGGGAAUACUUGUGAUCAGGAACAAAGGUGCAGCAGCAUGUGAACCCCCUGAAGAUGUCAGCAUUGUAAUCAAGUGUGUGGAAGUGAUAAAUGAUCUGAGCAGUGUGGCCAAUGCUUGUGCCUUGUUAAUGGGUUUGAUAUAUGCACUCAAUUUAACCUACCCGAAGGAGCUCAAAUACACCUUUUGAAGUAAUCCAAAAGGUGUUUAUGGAGUUAGACGGACAUAAACUGUCUCAAAGUGCACACCCUUGAGUGAUAACUACGGAAAUGUAUUGGCAUGAAAAAAUAUAUAUUUGUGAUAUUAUGAGAUAACGUUGGUUUAUUUAGCAAUUAUUGUGUUAUUUCCCAAUAAUUAUUGCAUUAUUCCGCGAUAAUAUUGCAUUAUUUUGCAAUAGUUUUUGCAUUUUCGCAAAUAACAUUGCAUUGCAAAAUAACGCAAAAAUAUUGCGAAAUAAUGCAAUAUUAUGUCAUAAUGCAAUAAUUAUUGCAAAAUAACAAAAUGUUAUCUCGUAAUAUUGCAAUAAAUAUAAAUUUCUCUGUGGUGCUGAUACAUUUCCGUAGAUAAAAGUUAAUUUAAUAUUUGAACUUGCGUUUUAAACCACUGUUAUCUUUUUAUCUUGGAUUGACAUAAAAUACCUCUGUAUUUGUGUUGACUGUGGAGCUGUUUUGGAAGAUUCUAGUGUGUGUUCAAUAUUGUUUUUAUUGAUGUACCUAUUAAGCCCAAUCCAGCUUUUUUUCAUAGUUGGAAAUUUAUUAUGAAAAGUCACAAAAUGCAGAAAUUAUAGAUUCAUCUUUUAUUUACCCCCUUUUUUUUACUGGCAGAAAAUGGAAAACCUGAGUUUACCUAAUAAAAGGAAGAAAAAAAAACAUAUUUGGUUGCCUUAAUAGGUACAUUUUUCUCAUGCCCACAGUUUGAAUACUGUUAUAGCUAGUGAUUUAUUCAGAAGAAUUUAGCACCUGACAAAUUUUAGCAAACCCAUUUUUAAUUUUCAGUGGUUAUGCAUAAGUUUGAGUUUGGUUCAUUGAUCUUGUGUCUGAAAUGUCAUCCAGAUUAGAUUUUGGAGUUUAUUAUGCCAUUGUUUUUUGAGAAGUGGAUGUGUUAGUAAAUCCUGCUUUACCAAUCAAUACUGAAGCGUGAUGAAAAGAUUGUUCUUUUGAGUGGUUGUGCUAAUUGUUUCUCAGUUUUUUCAAAUAAAAAUACUUGAU